Molecule: unclassified non-coding RNA, 187 nt
Organism: Cercocebus atys (sooty mangabey)
Lineage: Eukaryota; Metazoa; Chordata; Mammalia; Primates; Cercopithecidae
Source: Ensembl
UUGACAGCUUUGGAAACUGAAGGACUCUAAUUAUCCACAGACCAGGUACACUAUGGCCAGUGGCAGUACAGAUCAUUUCAUACUGCCCUGCCAAUGUGCCUCAGAUACAUUUCUUAAAACCUCAUGGAGUAUAAAGUUUUAAGGCAGCACCAAAUCUGUUUCCUUUGUUUUUCUUCCUCCCUUUUGU